AGGAAUUGCUUCUGUGGCCUGCUACCAUCAACCUUCUACCUAUGAAAAUAGAUGAAGGGAGAGAGGAGACGAGCAUGGUUAGGAAGUCUGGGACUGAAGCUAUCCCACUCAUUGUUAUAUGGAAACACUCCUUGUUAUGUGGAAACACUCCUUCAGAAUGCCGGGGGAAUGUGAUACAGCAUCAGUAUUGACAGAUGUCUGUGUCCUGCCAACAGGGGAGAUCCACAUGGGAUAUAAACACCACUGGUACCUUGCUAUUCAAAGUUGUUGGCAUGUUGCCCUGCAAAUUUAUUUCUUUUUUGAGAGAUCAUGUUUAUUAUUAGUGUGUCAAGGUAGUAUAUCAAGACCAGAUUACAAGUGAAAACAGCCAACAUCCUGCACAGGAGAUUCAGGAGGAAAGUGGUGAUUCUUUCUUGAGUCUGAGCACAUGGAGUCUUAGAUUUAAAUUUAAGAUGCACUUGGGGAAGAAUGUGAUGAAUAUAUCGAAAGUUAAUGGGAAUAAAAAAAUAAAAGGUGUAUGACCCACAGUAUUACAAAUGGAUUUUUAAAACAUUUUUUCAGCAAUUUGUAUCAUAGAUUUUUUAAUCCCUUUAACAUCUUGAAAACAGAACUUUCACAGAGAUUGAGUGACUUUCAAGUCAAGCAAAUUAGUAGAUGAAAGGUGAUCAUACAAGAAUAUUUUUUCUGAUGGGAAAGGCUGAGAUGAAUAAAGACCCUUAAGAUCAAAAUGCUAAAACGAUUAAGCCAAUUGAGUAGCAAUCAGCAUACUUUUCUGUAUACAGAAGAGUAUUUUCAGCAGUGUUCAAUGAGAUUAAAAAAAAAUGCUAUCUGAAUGAUGAAGUGACUAUGCAACUAUUAGAAUAUGGGAAGGAAAGCUGAUGGCACUUCUGUCCCCCGUGAUUUGCAGCACUUCCUUCUGUACGGUUGGUGGUCUUGUUACAGGCAGAAGGGCCCACUCAGCACCUCCAGUGUUAGAUAUUUCCUACUUAAAAAGUAACAUCUGGGAAAGAUCAGCGAUGAAUGUGUCAAGAGCUCCUAGUGUCGCAGGAUGACGCUCACGUGAGUACAAGUGCGAACAUGUUUUUUUCCUGGGAGUAAACAGCCUUUUCCUUUUCUCCCUAGACUUUAAUAGAGUAUAUUCUCAUGAACAUCUAGAUGAGUUCUGUCCUUGCUUCACAAACCCUGCUUCUAGGCUGUCUCUUUGGUAGAUGCUCACAGAAUCUUCAUCCUGCCAGGCACGUGCGGCUGUUUUUGAUUGUCAGCUAUGAAAGGUACCUCCUGACCCUUGCCUAUGAGGGUAGCUUUGGCAGAAUUGUAAAGAAGGAAGAGAAGGUGAUUCUGUGAUGUAGCAACAUUUUAAUUGAUACAGUUCCUUUCCUGCUCAUGUAGGUCUUAAAACUCUGCUGGGAUUAUUAUACUAUAUUUCACUGCUAGAGAGCAGUCAACAUCCAGGCUUCUGUUUAAAAUAUUGGACUUGGCCUCGGAUUCCUUUAAACGUAUGGUUGAAAAUAAAAUUGUACACAACAAGAAGGCUGCGAAAGUAAAGUUGAAAACAAGGAUUUACAUGUUAUGACUGAAGGAAAAAUUUGACACCCAGGCAGACCCCAAUUUCCACUCAUUAUCAGAGAGCUGAAUUCUAAAUCAACGAUUGUGGAGAAGAGAUGUGCAAGUUGAAUAAAACAUUUCCAGAAGAGCCUGAAUAAUGGUCCUGAAUAAAGGGAACUGAAAUGUUCUUGAAUUGUAAUUGGAAAAAAAUCAAGUGUGUGUACUCAGGAGCAUAUCUACUAAGAAGAGUGCCCUUGUAGGUCCAAUUAAGGUGCUUAAUUGAAAAAUUCCAAGUAAGCAGACUGUCCUGGCCCCCAGAGUGGAUGAUACCAGUGAUGAUACUUCUGAACUACAAAGAAAGAAUGCUCACAGAUGUUAACAGAGCCUUACGGUGCCACAGGCAGGCACAGACACAGGACUAUAUCCACAGGAAGGGAGGAGGAGAUGUGUAUGUAUGGAAGAAAACUGGAAUGUUCUUAUGAACCUCCUGCAGAAUCUGCCAAAUGCACAUGAGUGGUUUCACCUCUUCAGAUCAUCUCCUGCAGCUAAGCGCUGAGAGAAAGAUCAGCUACCUAAUUUUCCAGGCUUGGUGCAAGAUGAAAAUGUAGGACCGCUUUCUUCAAAUAGCGGCAAACAAAUGCUAGCCAAGGUCAGUCAAUCAAGAGACAAGGUGCUGGGGCAGGGAAAAGCAACUUUAUUCAAAAAGCCAGCAAGUCCAGAAGAUGAUGAACUUGUGUCUCAAAGAAUCAUCUUGCUCCAUUCUGGACACCAGUUUCUUUUAUAAAGAGAGGGAGGUAAGAAGCUAAAGUAAAAAAGGAGAUAAAUUGUCACAAAUAUUUCCUGAGUCCAGCCAGACUCUGAAGGGGAUGUUUCCUGUGAGCUUAAAGGAAGAUAUUGUAGCUUAAAGCUCAGCAUGGGAGGCAGGGUUCCCAGAGACGGGCCAUUAUAUAUGUUAUAAGCUGAGGCAAAUCCCUUUAAUGAUUUAUUAACUUAGCAAAAACAAUAGAAUUCAAAGGUUACUAUAAAAGAAACAGAUCCAGUAUGAAGUCAGAUUUGUUCUUCUCUGUUACUAAAGUACAUAAUUUGAAAAGUAUGUAAUAAUUUAAAAUUUUUAAUAAAAAUUAUUAAUAAUUUAAAAAGUAUGUACUAUAGUACAGUAUUUUUAUAUUUAUCUAGAACUUUUAAGUUAAAUAGGAAAACAGACAUGGGAUGAAGAAAAAUUUACACAUUUGAUUUAUUAAAUAAUGCAACAUAUAAUUUGGUGAAUUUAAAAGGCAUUUAUUUUUUGCUAUGAUAGCCACUGAAUUUCACUUUGGUGGGGGCUUAGUUACUCUUAUAAAAUAAUGAUUAAAGGAGGCUGUUUCUCCUCUUCAAAUCAUUCUUACUAUGUGUAUUCAAUUUGCAAGACAAGCAAUUACUGCUGUUUGAAUCUGGCAAGUAGCCACUAUUUUUAAUUGAAACAGUAUUUUGCAAAAUAAAGAGCAUGAAGUUAUAUAAGGAAGUGGUGCUGAUGUGUUAACAGGAGUGAGCUAUAAGGAAGGACAGUUACAUAUUUUAGCAUGUAAAAAUAUUUUCCAAAUUAGCAGUUAGUGAAAUUUCUGUGACUGUCACACCAUGUUCAUCUAUUUCUUGGGUAAACAGGGCACUUAUAAAGAUGUUUUUUUUUAAAAAAAAAACCAGUGCAUCAUAAGGUACUAUCACAGGCACUUGGUUUAAGUAGAACACAGAGCUCUUGCUUAACCAAGUUAAGCGGGCCUUCGGAAUUAGAUUGACCUGAAU
Long non-coding RNA from Bubalus bubalis (water buffalo), 3324 nucleotides. RefSeq lists it as uncharacterized. NCBI's taxonomy places the organism in Eukaryota, Metazoa, Chordata, Mammalia, Artiodactyla, Bovidae. The record is from RefSeq and is a predicted model, not a curated record. The transcript has 6 exons.